This 497-nucleotide ribosomal RNA is filed under the name uncultured bacterium. Its description in RNAcentral is "partial 16S ribosomal RNA". It matches the Rfam family "Bacterial small subunit ribosomal RNA", at positions 28 to 507 of the family's 1533-position model. The record is from RNAcentral.
GAUGAACGCUGGCGGCGUGCCUAAUACAUGCAAGUCGAGCGAACGGACGAGAAGCUUGCUUCUCCGAUGUUAGCGGCGGACGGGUGAGUAACACGUGGAUAACCUACCUAUAAGACUGGGAUAACUUCGGGAAACCGGAGCUAAUACCGGAUAAUAUUUUGAACCGCAUGGUUCAAAAGUGAAAGACGGUCUUGCUGUCACUUAUAGAUGGAUCCGCGCUGCAUUAGCUAGUUGGUAAGGUAACGGCUUACCAGGGCAACGAUGCAUAGCCGACCUGAGAGGGUGAUCGGCCACACUGGAACUGAGACACGGUCCAGACUCCUACGGGAGGCAGCAGUAGGGAAUCUUCCGCAAUGGGCGAAAGCCUGACGGAGCAACGCCGCGUGAGUGAUGAAGGUCUUCGGAUCGUAAAACUCUGUUAUUAGGGAAGAACAUAUGUGUAAGUAACUGUGCACAUCUUGACGGUACCUAAUCAGAAAGCCACGGCUAACUACGUG